UUAAGCAAAAAAGAGCGCAGGGUGGAUGCCUUGGCACUAAGAGCCGAAGAAAGACGUGAUAAGCUGCGAAAAGCUGCGGGGAGAUGCAAAUAAUCCUUGAUCCGCAGAUGUCUGAAUGGGGAAACCCGGUACGAAGAACUCGUAUCAUCCAUACGCCAAUCCAUAACGUAUGGAGGGGAACCCGGUGAACUGAAACAUCUAAGUAGCCGGAGGAAGAGAAAGAAACAUCGAUUUUGUUAGUAGCGGCGAGCGAAAGCGAAAGAGGCCAAACCGGAGUGCGUGCACUCCGGGGUUCGGACCGCAUUUAAGAUUCAGUGAUUCUAGCAGAAAGGUUUGGGAAAGCCUGCCGGAGAGGGUGAAAGCCCCGUAAGCGAAAGGAGAACUGACUGAGCGGAAUCCAGAGUACAUCGAGACACGAGAAACCUUGAUGGAAUGAGCGGGGACCACCCCGUAAGCCUAAAUACUACUUAGUGACCGAUAGCGCAUAGUACUGUGAAGGAAAGGUGAAAAGGACCCCGGGAGGGGAGUGAAAGAGAACCUGAAACCCUGUGUUUACAAGCUGUGGAAGUUCUUUAAAUGAACAACCGCGUACUUUUUGUAGAACGGUCCGGCGAGUUGCGGAUACUGGCAAGGUUAAGCACUUAAGGUGCGGAGCCGAAGGGAUACCAAGUCUUAACAGGGCGUUAAGUCAGUGUACGCAGACCCGAAACCGGGUGAUCUAUCCAUGUCCAGGUUGAAGUUGUCGUAAAAGACAAUGGAGGACCGAAGCCACAUCCGUUGAAAAGGGUGGGCAUGAGGUGUGGAUAGGGGAGAAAUUCCAAUCGAACCCGGAGAUAGCUGGUUCUCCUCGAAAUAGCUUUAGGGCUAGCCUCGUUUUAGUCUUAUGGAGGUAGAGCACUGAAUUUCCGCGGGGGCGUCAAAGCUUACCAAAGAAUAUCAAACUCCGAAUGCCAUGUAGAUGAUGAACGGGAGUCAGACUGCACGAGAUAAGUUGGGCAGUCAAAAGGGAAAGAGCCCAGACCUGCUGCUAAGGUCCCAAAGUACGUGUUAAGUGGAAAAGGAUGUGGGAUUUCGAAGACAACUAGGAUGUUGGCUCAGAAGCAGCCAUACAUUCAAAGAGUGCGUAACAGCUCACUAGUCGAGAGUUCCUGCGCCGAAAAUGUCCGGGGCUGAAACACGACACCGAAGCCGUGGACUCGCAAUGCGAGUGGUAGAGGAGCAUUCUUAAAACCGACGAAGCUGUACCGUAAGGAGCAGUGGAGGGAUAAGAAGAGAGAAUGCCGGAAUGAGUAGCGAGAGAAAGGUGGGAAUCCUUUCGGCCGAAUAUCUAAGGUUUCCAGAGUAAAGCUGAUCUGCUCUGGGUAAGUCGGGGCCUAAGCACAGGUCGCAAGACGUAAGCGAUGGAUAACAGGUUUAGAUUCCUGUACCACGCAUUAUCAGAACUGUAGGGACGCAUGUGGAAAGCACGAGCCGGGAAUGGAAAGACCGGUACAAGCGGGGUAGGUGUACAAUAGGCAAAUCCGUUGUAUAAUCCGAAGACGUGAUGUGGAGCGAAAUAAAGUAGUGAAGCGUGUGAGCCAUGUGCCGAGAAAAGCUGCUAUUGUGUAAUGCGUGCCCGUACCGUAAACCGACACAGGUGGAUGAGGAGAGAAUCCUAAGGCCGACGGAAGAAGCAUUGUUAAGGAAUUCGGCAAAAUGACCCCGUAACUUCGGGAGAAGGGGUGCCUGCGAGAGCAGGCCGCAGAGAAUAGGCUCAAGCAACUGUUUAGCAAAAACACAGGUCUAUGCGAAACCGAAAGGUGAAGUAUAUGGGCUGACGCCUGCCCGGUGCUGGAAGGUUAAGAGGAGAGGUUAGCGUAAGCGAAGCUUUGAAUUUAAGCCCCAGUAAACGGCGGCCGUAACUAUAACGGUCCUAAGGUAGCGAAAUUCCUUGUCGGGUAAGUUCCGACCCGCACGAAAGGCG
This 1963-nucleotide ribosomal RNA is filed under the name human gut metagenome. RNAcentral describes it as "bacterial LSU rRNA". It matches the Rfam family "Bacterial large subunit ribosomal RNA", at positions 3 to 2001 of the family's 2925-position model. The record is from RNAcentral.